ACGGCUAUAACACGUUGAAGCACAAGUUCUAUUCAGAUCACUGAAGUUAAGCUAAGUCGAGCCUGGUCAGUACCUAUAUGGGUGACCGCUUAGGAAUGCCAGAU
Acanthosepion pharaonis is the source of this 104-nucleotide non-coding RNA. The record is from the annotation of a GenBank genome assembly. Lineage: Eukaryota; Metazoa; Mollusca; Cephalopoda; Sepiida; Sepiidae.